UAGCCAAGUGGAUUAAGGCAG
RNAcentral lists this transfer RNA (21 nucleotides) under Jungermannia exsertifolia. RNAcentral describes it as "partial tRNA-His". The record is from RNAcentral. Lineage: Eukaryota; Viridiplantae; Streptophyta; Jungermanniopsida; Jungermanniales; Jungermanniaceae.